GAUCCUGGCUCAGGAUGAACGCUAGCGGCAGGCUUAACACAUGCAAGUCGAGGGGCAGCGCGGAGUAGCAAUACUCUGGCGGCGACCGGCGGAAGGGUGCGUAACACGUGAGCGACUUGCCCGUCACAGGGAGAUAACCGCUGGAAACGGCGACUAAUAUCCCAUAUGAUGGCGAUCUGCAUGGAUUGUCAUUGAAAGAUUCAUCGGUGACAAAUAGGCUCGCGGGG
This 227-nucleotide ribosomal RNA is filed under the name uncultured bacterium. RNAcentral's name for it is "partial 16S ribosomal RNA". It matches the Rfam family "Bacterial small subunit ribosomal RNA", at positions 15 to 238 of the family's 1533-position model. The record is from RNAcentral.